RNAcentral lists this transfer RNA (84 nucleotides) under Eubacteriaceae bacterium CHKCI005. It matches the Rfam family "tRNA". From Rfam's summary of the family: Transfer RNA (tRNA) molecules are approximately 80 nucleotides in length. Lineage: Bacteria; Bacillati; Bacillota; Clostridia; Eubacteriales; Eubacteriaceae. The record is from Rfam by way of RNAcentral.
GGAGAGGUGUCCGAGCGGUUUAAGGAGCUGGUCUUGAAAACCAGUGACACGUAAGUGCCAAGGGUUCGAAUCCCUUCCUCUCCG